AAGAAYSCCUUNGGGGCUAAUMCCCCCGNAGGGAAGACAUCACUCACAGAAGAAGCACCGGCUAACUCCGUGCCAGCAGCCGCGGUAAUACGGAGGGUGCAAGCGUUAAUCGGAAUUACUGGGCGUAAAGCGCGCGUAGGCGGCGUGAUAAGCCGGUUGUGAAAGCCCCGGGCUCAACCUGGGAACGGCAUCCGGAACUGUCAGGCUAGAGUGCAGGAGAGGAAGGUAGAAUUCCCGGUGUAGCGGUGAAAUGCGUAGAGAUCGGGAGGAAUACCAGUGGCGAAGGCGGCCUUCUGGACUGACACUGACGCUGAGGUGCGAAAGCGUGGGUAGCAAACAGGAUUAGAUACCCUGGUAGUCCACGCCGUAAACGAUGUCGACUAGCCGUUGGGGUCCUAGAGACCUUUGUGGCGCAGUUAACGCGAUAAGUCGACCGCCUGGGGAGUACGGCCGCAAGGUUAAAACUCAAAUGAAUUGACGGGGGCCCGCACAAGCGGUGGAGCAUGUGGUUUAAUUCGAUGCAACGCGAAGAACCUUACCUACCCUUGACAUCGUGCGAACUUGGUAGAGAUACCUUGGUGCCUUCGGGAACGCACAGACAGGUGCUGCAUGGCUGUCGUCAGCUCSUGUUGUGAAAWGUUGNGGUUAA
This 649-nucleotide ribosomal RNA is filed under the name Halomonas sp. Its description in RNAcentral is "bacterial SSU rRNA". It matches the Rfam family "Bacterial small subunit ribosomal RNA", at positions 445 to 1083 of the family's 1533-position model. The record is from RNAcentral. Lineage: Bacteria; Pseudomonadati; Pseudomonadota; Gammaproteobacteria; Oceanospirillales; Halomonadaceae.